UCCACUGUGCUUCUGAUGACCCGGCCGCCGCCGCCGCCCUGCAACCGCUCCCCGGGACCCCUCAACGCUGACACUGAUGACCCGCGGCGGGGGCGCUGGGCGCGGGGUGCGCAGGCCACUGGCCGCGGGCUCUCGGGCCCGCUCCUGCCGCCGGCUUCUGCUGCUUCCGCGUGCCGUGGACACUGCCAGAAUUUGUCAAAGGUCCUAGGAAGAAAAGGCUCUUUCACCCCUCCCCUCAAUGAACAGAUGGCGUGUUUGGACUGUUCGCAUUCGCUCCUCAUAGGGACAAAUGAAUCUCUUCCCACGCCAUGGGAUUUCCCUUGAUUUUUAUAUUGGGAGUGAAAAGAUGAAGCAUGAGACUCUUCAGCUGCAUCUCGAACUGCAUCUAAUCCCAGCACAUCUCUCUCAAUCUUUGAUUAAGUCUGUUCAUCUAAAAGAGAGACACAGGGGAAAAAUGGAAAUGGGACUUUGGAAGAAUGACCAUCCACAUUCCCAUCACAGCCUGAGAUUUCCUACCUGAUUGAGAUUUUCAGUAGAUGGCCCUAGGUCUAGUUUCCCACUUUGGACCUGCUGCCCUUGGCUCCAAUAGAGGACUUCCAAGUAACUAGGAAGAUUUCACCUCUCUUUUGAAACAUAAUGGACAAAUGUGUUUCUUUAGGAUGAGAGGUGCACCUGGCUAGUCAAUCUUUAUUUUCCUAAAAUAAACAGGAUGAAAACUCAAAACAAAAAGAAAUACCUCAUGGGCAAAAGCUCUCCCAAUACAACUAAUACAGACACUCAACAUGGCUUUGUAGAAACUGACCCCUCUCCCAAGUCUUAUGUUUGUCAGAAUUGCAUGCCUAUUUCAAUCGAAGAAAAGUGAUCUGAUCUCUUCAGAUGAAGGUGGGACUUGGAGAUGCUGCUGCCUAGAGUUAACUUGCCAGAGAAAGGAUAAGCAUUCGGGAAGUGCCAGGAUGGGGUAUCAGCUGAACAAUGGCAGGAUCCCUUCUGCCAGUGGGCUGGCUCAGGGAGUAAACCUCCCCGGAAGGAAUUUUGUUUCUCUCUAGAAUCAAAGUGGGCAAAAUGAUCACCUUAUUCGCCUGGAGUGAACCAGGUUGAAACUGAGAAGGCAGACAUGGGUGAUAAGCCAGAUGAAGUCAUAUGUUAUAACUAAGCUAUGUACCUGUAACUUGCCUGGUAGUUUUUUCAUUCUCUCUAAACAGGUCAUAAUAAGUGUUAGUCUGUGAUCCACUAUGGAGAGAGAUUUCUGGAAAGAAUAGAGGCAGUGGUAGAGGGUCCAAGGUUGUUAUUUAAGGAGAUGAAUGUGGGUCAGGUGCCGUGGCUCACACCUGUAAUCCCAGCAUUUUGGGAGGCAGAGGCAGGAGGAUUGCUUAAGGCCAGAGUUCAAGACCAAACUGGCCAAUAUAGUGAGAUCCCCCCCCCAUCUCUACAAAAGAUAGAAAAACUUAGCCAGGCAUGGUGGCAGGUGCUAUAGUCCCUGCCACCAUGGGACUACAGCUCCUGCAGUCCCAGCUACUCAGGAGUUGAGGCGGAAGGAUUGCUUGAGCCCAGAAGUUCGAGGUUGCAGUGAGCCAUGAUCAUGCCACUGCACUCCUCCGUGGGUGACAGAGCGAGACCUGACUCAAUAAUAAUAAUAUUAAUAAUAAUGAUAAUGCAACACAAACUAUCUUUUACCUCUUGAACAAUGAAUGCAGAUGCCAUGACUACAUCUGUUUGUUGGGGACCAGGGAGGCUGCCAGUGAGGAUUCAGGGUGGAAGUAGUGUGUACCCAAUACCUAUUGUGAGAUGUGGCCUGGGGAGCCCUGAGAUUGCCUGGCCAGGCUCACUCACUACCCAGACACCCUCUUCCUGCAUGGCGAGUCCCUCAGCCCCUCCAAGGCUCAAUUCUCAGACAUCGGAGUAAUCCACAUCCUCCAUCUUGAGUUACUCCUCACAAGGCCUGCAAGUUUUCCUAGGAGGAAGGGAAGACAGGGUUGAACCCACACAAUUCUAGAAUCUAGAAUUUGGAGGAUUUCUAAACCAUUUCUGUAAGUCAGCCCUUGAGAACUUGUAGAUUUUCUCAUCAUUUGCAGCAUGAGAGUCUGGAGUAGACUGUUUGGAUUUGACUCUUGGUUCCUUGGGCAAGUUACUUAACCUCUCAGCUGUGUGUCAGUUUCCUUAUCUAAAAAGUGUGGUUAAUAAUAACUGACCUCUCAGAGGUAUUGUGAGGUUACUGUGAUGAUUAAAUUAGUUGAUUCAUAU
RNAcentral lists this long non-coding RNA (2241 nucleotides) under Homo sapiens (human). RNAcentral describes it as "non-protein coding LINC00900:5". Lineage: Eukaryota; Metazoa; Chordata; Mammalia; Primates; Hominidae. The record is from RNAcentral.